CGGAACGGGUGAGUAAUACAUAAGUAACCUGCCCUAGACAGGGGGAGUAACUAUUGGAAACGAUAGCUAAGACCGCAUAGGUACGGACACUGCAUGGUGACCGUAUUAAAAGUGCCUCAAAGCACUGGUAGAGGAUGGACUUAUGGCGCAUUAGCUGGUUGGCGGGGUAACGGCCCACCAAGGCGACGAUGCGUAGCCGACCUGAGAGGGUGACCGGCCACACUGGGACUGAGACACGGCCCAGACUCCUACGGGAGGCAGCAUGG
This 266-nucleotide ribosomal RNA is filed under the name uncultured bacterium. RNAcentral's name for it is "partial 16S ribosomal RNA". It matches the Rfam family "Bacterial small subunit ribosomal RNA", at positions 98 to 353 of the family's 1533-position model. The record is from RNAcentral.